Molecule: long non-coding RNA, 475 nt
Filed under: Androctonus crassicauda
Lineage: Eukaryota; Metazoa; Arthropoda; Arachnida; Scorpiones; Buthidae
Source: RNAcentral
AUGUCCCUCCUCAAUACUGUACACAGAUUAAGAACAUUAGCUACAGAUAAAUAUAUUCUAAGAACAUAACAGUUAUAAAUUCUAAAAUAGAACAUACAAAUGGAACAACCGACAAUUUAAAACAAGUCACGUAAAGAAAGUUAUCCGUACAUCAGUAACAUACAUACAUAAAUGAAUCAUAAAAUAAACUUAAGGGCAGGGGGAGCAAACUUCUAAUACUUAUAUAAACAAAAUCACCUAGGCACUAUGAUGACAGGACAUAUAAAACGACAAACAUCCUUGGUCCAUACACCGUAUAAUUUCAAGUACUCUCACCCGUGCGGGAACUCCUCCUGUCCGGCCCGUCGGCGGUGCUGCAUCUCCCGCCCAGCAUGUGUGAUCUGGCCUCAGGCAUUGAUGGAGCUAUGUGUGCCUUUGAUGGUGUGCAUAAAGAGAAAAUCCGUUGGCUCAUUUUAUGAAUUUUACAUUAAAGAAC